GAUUCUUUUUUGCCAUUCAGCUCUAUUGAAUGCCAAGUCCACAUCAACUUCCAAAACAAUAAUUAGUUUCUCAGUUGUUCCUAAAUUGUUUAGAAAUUCUUCUUAAAUCUCCGCAAGUUUUUAGAAAUAAUAUCUGAUUCCCAAUUCCAUUUGGACACCAUGGGUAGCUCAAUAAACUGGUCAAGACAUUAGUUGGAACACAAACUGAGUCUAAUGAUUGAUUCCAGAUUCUAUGUUGGAGAUGGAUGUGUAUUCGAUCCAUGCAAGCUUUAGUCACCCAUGCUGUUCAUGAUCUUCUCCAGAAGCUGAUGUAGGAUGACCUAUGGGGGAUGGCUUGGUCAAGGCUUUGUAGAGUAUACCUAAUUUGUUGUUUUUUGUUGUCUCUCCUCUGCUUACCAAAAUAAAAUGAAAUGAAAUAAAUAUAUUCUAGAGGCUUCACCUUUUUACCAUCUUUUUAUCAUGUAUUAUCUCUCAAUGUACUGUUCUCAAGACAGUGGAUGUGAAGUUUUUCCCAGAAAGUUAUGCUUGUUGGUAUAAUUUAUUCAUUAUAUAACCUGUUAUAAUUUGCCAAUUUUGAUAGUAGAAGUGGCUCCUCAGAAGCACCGCAAAGAUUCAGUCCCCGAGCACGCCAACUAAAAACAACUGGACUAGAGUCUGACUCUGCAUCAUCAUCAAAUCAAGUUAGAACACCAAAAGAUAGAAGCCCUAAAGUCAUUGACCACUGGUCACACAGAAGCCCAGUGUCUGAGAAGAAGCGUCCAAGCAGAAUAUCUGAAUUGGAAUCUCAGAUUUCUCAGCUUCAGGAAGAUCUGAAAAAGGCAAAGGAUCAGCUAAGUUUAUCAGAAUCAUGGAAGACAGAAGCCCUGCAAGAUGCUGAGGAGUCCAAGAAACAACUUUUGGCUAUAUCUUCAAAGCUCGAAGAGUCACAGAAGCAACUUCAAGAACUGUCUGCUACGGAGGGGGCUCGUGUUGUUGAGCUUCAGAAAAUCUCACAAGAACAGGAUAAAGCAUGGCAGGCAGAGCUUGAGGCUAUCCAGCAGCAGCACUCAGUUGACUUAUCUGCCUUGGGCUCUGCCUUGAGUGAAAUUCAACGGUUGAAGGUUCAGCUUGAGAUGGUAGCUGAAUCUGAAGCUGACCAAAGCAAGCAUGCAGAAUCAGCAGAUGUGGAGCUCCGGACGUUAAGAGCAAAUCUGAUGGAUACUCUUUCUCUUGUAGAGAACAUGAAAAACCAGCUAAGGGAUAGCAAAGACUCAGAGGCCCAUGCCCAAGCACUGGCUAGUGAAACUCUACUGCAACUGGAAACUGCAAAGAAAUCUGUGGAGGCACUAAGAUCAGAUGGCUCAAGAGCUAUUGAAGCCUAUAACUCCAUUGCCUCAGAAUUAGACCAGUCGAGGGCACGUGUUAAAUUAUUGGAAGGACUUGUUAGAAAACUUGAGACAGACCUACAUAAUGCUAGUGGCAACCUUUAUCGAGAUUCUGCAGAUGGUCAUGAUACUGAGGAGGCCAUUGUUGAAAAUCAAAGGUCACAGGAAGCACACCAGCUUGAAGCAGAGCUUUUUUCUUUGAAGUCUGAGGUGGGGCAUUUGAGAUCUGCUCUAGAAGCCGCUGAGAUUAAAUGCCAUGAAGAGCAAAUUCACAGCACAGUGCAGAUAAGAAGUGCUUAUGAACUGGUGGAGCAGAUAAAAUCUGGAUCUAUGCUCAGAGAGGCUGAACUAGAGGCGGAACUCAAGCAAGCAAAAACUGAUAUUGAAGAGUUGAAGGCAGACCUUAUGGAUAAGGAAACUGAAUUGCAAGGAAUUUCAGAGGAGAAUGAAGGUCUAAAUAUGAAGCUUAAGAACAGUUUAUCAACCCGAGGAGAAUCUGGACUAGAGAAUGAACUAAAAAAUUUGAGGGACACUGUUGCUGAAAUGAAGGCGAGAUUAACGGAUAAGGAGACAGAAUUGCAAAAUAUAUUGGAGGAAAAUGAGAUGUUGAAGGUGGAAAGCAGUAAAAGGGAAAUGGUUGGGAAUAAAGUGAAUAAUGAGGUGGUUGUAGAACUAGAAGCUGCAAGGGACGCAGAACGGGAAGCUCUCAUGAAGCUUGCCUUUGCGAUGGAGGAGGCAGAUAAGAGUAAUAAAAGGGUUGCGAGGGUGACUGAACAGCUUGAGGCAGCACAAGCAGCUAACUCUGAAAUGGAAGCAGAGUUGAGAAGACUAAAGGUGCAGUCUGACCAGUGGAGGAAGGCUACAGAGGCAGCUGUAGCUAUGCUUUCAGCAGGAAAUAAUGGGAAGUUCAUGGAGAGAACAGGAUCAUUGGAUAGCAACUACAAUCCUGUUACAGGAAAGAUUGGUUCACCCUACAAUGAAGAGAUGGAUGAUGAUCUUCUAAAGAAGAAAAAUGGAAAUAUGCUAAAGAAGAUUGGGGUCUUAUGGAAGAAGCCACAGAAAUAGAAUACCUGAGAUACCCCGGUCGAUUGCAAAAUCCAAAUCAUUUUAUUGAAGCAAAAAAUUAGCACUCUUGUGAAGUUCCCAUCUGCAAUAGCUUAGUAUACGCUGGUUGAUUUCCUGUACCCUUAAACAUCAAAUUGCGGCUGUGAUUCUCCUGCAAGUAUGUUUAAAUUGGCCUAAGUAGUUCACAUUGGAACCGAGUGAUAUCAAAAAGAAAUGGAAAAACUUACACAUGUAUCUAUCUGCAACUCUGCUUGCAAGUAACUUACUAUGGAGUCAUUUUGUUUAAGCUAGUCCUGUCCUUGUUGACUUGCCUGCAAAUUCAUAAAUGAAUAGAAUCAGCUACUUUCUGUUGCUUCCGAUAAAUCUGGUAAAGUUUUAUAGUUGCACUCAACUCAUUUUACUUGCUGUCUGGAUCCCAGUCCCACUGUAUGAAUAUUCAUAAUAUGGGUUGAUUUUGUGUAUCUUCU
Molecule: unclassified non-coding RNA, 2896 nt
Filed under: Hevea brasiliensis (rubber tree)
Lineage: Eukaryota; Viridiplantae; Streptophyta; Magnoliopsida; Malpighiales; Euphorbiaceae
Source: RNAcentral